UACAGAGGGUGCGAGCGUUAAUCGGAAUUACUGGGCGUAAAGCGUGCGUAGACGGCUAUCUAAGUCGGGUGUGAAAGCCCCGGGCUCAACCUGGGAAUUGCAUUCGAGACUGAAUAGCUAGGGUACGGUAGAGGGAAGUGGAAUUUCCGGUGUAGCGGUGAAAUGCGUAGAUAUCGGAAGGAACAUCAGUGGCGAAAGCGACUUCCUGGCUCGAUACUGACACUGAGGCACGAAAGCGUGGGGAGCAAACAGG
RNAcentral lists this ribosomal RNA (253 nucleotides) under uncultured bacterium. RNAcentral's name for it is "partial 16S ribosomal RNA". It matches the Rfam family "Bacterial small subunit ribosomal RNA", at positions 524 to 776 of the family's 1533-position model. The record is from RNAcentral.